Long non-coding RNA from Alexandromys fortis (reed vole), 6121 nucleotides. RefSeq lists it as uncharacterized. The transcript has 3 exons. NCBI's taxonomy places the organism in Eukaryota, Metazoa, Chordata, Mammalia, Rodentia, Cricetidae. The record is from RefSeq and is a predicted model, not a curated record.
AGCCUCAAACUACUGUAGCACCAAGAAGACAGUGACACAGUCAUGGAAGAACAAAGGCAAAAGCCAGAUCUUGGCACUUUUCAGAUCUGAGCCAGAAGAUCAAUGAUGGAGCAGCUUCAGUAAGAGAAGGACAAACAGUGGUCACAUGCCUCCGAGCUGAUGCAGUUUCAUGUAGGUAUUGCUUUUUGCUCCAAAUGCUUGACCUGAAUCUAAAACCGGAUAAUGAAACUGAGAAAGAUUGACUGUGGGGUGAAGAAAUUAGCUGCUAGGAUGCUUCAAAAUAAGCCUCAUGAACCUCCAAAUUAGUGGAGGGCCUUCUCUGGUUGACAGAGUAAACGGGCAUGCCAAUUAAAGACAAUGCAUGCCUUUUAAAAGUAAGCCUCAUAUUUUAAAUACUUGAAAAAAGCAAUUGGACACCUGGAGACUAUCUGUUUAUGGUCUGGGUGCUGCUGUCCUAUGAGGGCUAUAUAUACUUUUGGGGAGUGGGUAACAGAACUUUAGUCAUAUGAGAAGAUAUGCUGGUCCUCAGGAGGAGGCUGGAGGGAAGGCCAGGGAGAUUGGAGGAAGCACUGCCUUCUCUUCCCCUCACCUGUUUCCCCAUGAGAUCAGUUAAUGCCAUGGCUGGGAAAUGCUCAAAUCACCCAGUACUGUGAUUUGACUUGCAUUAAGUUCAAUUUGUAUUGGAGACAAUUUGUCAGAUCCAGGCAGAGGUUGUAUACUUUGUAUACUUGAGAUUCAGCUCCCUAGAGAGGCUUUGGAAUCGCGAACACAGCCUGGGACAGCCUUUGCUUACUCUUUGAUGUAAAGGGUCUGGAAGCUGACCUGCACUAUCCAGGAGCUGGCCUGGGACAAUGAACCUUCAUCUGGAGAUGGAUAGAGAUAGAGACAGAGACCCACACGGAGCACCGGACUGAGCUCCCAAUGUCCCAAGGAGGAGCAGAAGGAGGGAAAAUAUGAGCAAAGAAGUCAGGACCACGAGGGGUGCACCCACCCACGGAGACAGUGGGGCUGAUCUAUUGUGAGCUCACCAAGGCCAGCUGGACUGCAACUGAAAAAGCAUGGGAUAAAACCGGACUCUCUGAAUAUGGCGGACAAUGAGGGCUCCCUUAUUUUUUUUUCCUUUCAAUAUUUUAUUUUUAAAUUUUUACUUUUUUACUCCAACUCAGCCUGCUUUCCAAUAACACAAUUAGACCAGAAAUAUUCUGUAAAUUGGAGGAAUUAAAAUUAAGUAUUCUAGUUUGGAACCGUCUUCCAAGAUCAGUACUUUCAAAUGUUUAGAUCUGCCUAAAAUAAGCAAAAUCCAUGUUUCUUUGUUAAAAAAAAAUUCCCCGAUAUGUUAUAUUAAUAGUAUGUUCACUUCACACCAGGUUCUCUGGCAGUUAAAGAGAUAAUCAGAGUUACUUGAAGAAGCAGAAAAAGUCCACAGUGUCUACGAGACAAAAAUGACAGCUCACAUCCAUAAGAUAUGACCAGUUUGCAUGAAUUAUUUUAGCUACACUGUAUAAAACUGCCUGGAAAAUUUCCUCGUGAAAAGCUAGCAUGAGAUUUACACUUGUAUGCAGAGAAUACUGACUCAUACAGUACAAGGACUGCUCUCCUGAACUUGGGGUCUGGGACUCAGCACAGCCUCCUGUGCACACUGACUUGCCGGAAACUAUCCACACAACUGUGAAAAUCGUGACAGUAUAUAGUAAGGAUGACGUCCAGGUCCAGGUCCAGAUCCAGGUCCUCCUCCCAGGCUGGAGAACAGCGCAAGCCAUUGUGUGAAGCUGGGUCUCAGGGCCACCCUGGAGAACAGAGAACUGAACUCUCUAUUCUACUACUAUAAUAUCCUAUGAUUUUUGAGGAAAGAAAAUCAUCCUCAGGCGACCUCAGCAUCCAUUAGAAGAUGCCAAUAAUAUGUGCUGCAGUUAUUUCUCAUCCGGGUAAGGUGAAGACGGAUGAGUUAAUGCCUGCAAAGAGCUCUGACUUCUCCAAAAAAGCACUGAAAAUCUAUUAUAUCAUCAUUUCAUCUGCACCAAGGAGGCUUUGAAGUCACAUUUGCUUCCAUCUUUCAAAUGUCAACUGAGAUUAUUAUGAGUAUAUCAAAAAAUGCAAAUGGCACAGGAAAGUGAAGAAAGAUGGGGAGAUGUGAGGGAGCACAGAAUUAAUGCAUAAUGUCAAAUGUGCAGCUGGCACCUAACUCCAAUAAGUGAAAGGCAUAAUUCCUGCUCCUCAGAAUUUAAUAAUCAAACCAACUAACCUCAUACAGGUAAACAGAAAGCGACCAGCAUAAAUAUGUGGGGUGAAGGAGUUAAAAGGACCUUUACUGCAGGAUGCUAAGCUACCUUCCUCAGAUCAGAGGAGCAACGAGAAAAGGAGCCUUAGGGUUUUCAUUGCUGUGAAGAGACGCCACGACGACAGCCACUCUUAUAAAGAAAACAUUUAAUCGGGGUGGCUCGCUGACAAUUUCAGAGGUUCAGUCUAUUAUCAUCAGGCAGAUGUGGUAUUGGAGCUGAAAGUGCUACAUCUAGCAGGAUAGUUGACUGAGACACUGGGUGGUAUCCUGAGCAUAGGAAUCCUCAAAGCCCAUCCCCUAAGCGACACACGUCCUCCAAACAAGGCCACACCCACUUCAACAAAGCCUCCUAAUAGUGCCAUUCCCUAUGAGACUAUGGGGGCCAAUUACAUUCAAAUUACCAUAGAAGGAAAAAGAAAAAUGGGAGACAUUCUUGUGAAAAACCAAAUCAGAACUGUUGAAAGAACAAACUUGUCUGCCUACGAUUUGAAUCAAUCUAUUUACCUGGUUCUACCCCAGCCUAUUUAUGACUCAUGAUUAUGAUGACUUGCCAUCAACACCAGAAGGACAGAUCUCACCUGUGAUCACUAACUACUUACAGACAAACAGGCUAUUUCAUGUGGCUGCAGCAUCUGGAUUAAGUUUUCCUGUUGGGAAGAGAUGUAAGUUUGAAGAUACAGAAGCCGUGAAAAUCACUGUUCUACUGUGGAUUGAGACAUGACAAGAAGUAACCACAGAAACCAUGUUCUGUGGCCCUAAGAGAAGAGGGAGGGAGAUCCUGCAAGUCCCCUCUACAGACAUUGUUGCCACCCUUAGAGGUAACAUAAGAAAAUGCGCUCUCACACACCUCGAAACUGAUUUCUCAGAGCCUAUAACUUUCCCUGUGGCACUUACGAUAUAACGGUGGCAGUUGUACUCACUUACAUUAACUGUUCACUUGUCCUCGUGUUCUACCUUAACAUAGGAUGUGUGAUCUGGAACAACCUUACCUACUAGCUUCAAGGCUUACCACAUGCAAAGACAAAGCUGUUCCUACCUCUGCUCACUUCAGUAGCUGGACUUAAGGUUCUACUUUCCUCCUGCACCAUAUGGCUUGGGCAAUGUCUAGAGUCAGCCGUCUAAUCCACACACUUUAUUUCAAGGUGGGGGAAUAAGUCCAGAUACCUUACUAAUCUUGGACACAGCAGUGCAACUAAGUCUCCAGACUCUGGUGUUCUGUCCUCUUUACCACAGCACAGUCUGUGUCUUCACCAGAGAAACCGGGGAGCUGAUUUGGAUUAGUUGAUCAAAAUUAAAUGGCCUGUAUUACUUAUUACUUAAAUUAGUUGAAAAAUAUAACUGUGUUUUUAAAGUUUUUUUUCAGUGCCUGUAGACUGACUUAACAUUUUAGGUUUGCGGCCUGGAGCACAAAUGACUCAUUAGUGUCCCGAGACCAUGGGAUUCAGACACAAAGUCUUUAACUGAGGAACUUUAUACUGAAUAUUUUUAUUAUUUUUUUCAAUACCAGUUUCAUUGUAAAAUACUGAAGGAUGUAUUAUUCUCAGUUCUAGAAAAUAUUGGCUAAAGUAGUCUUAAUCAUCUUUAUAAGGAAGAAAGAAGUCAUAGUUGCUAAGUUCAGGCUCAAUAUUCAGAUUUCAGUAAAAAUACUUUGCUACAUCUAUAAUAUAAACAUUCCAUAAAAAUUAAAGGGGUGGGAGAUGGUUCAGUGGUUAAGGGCUAUUCCAGAGCACCCAGGUUUAAUUUAGGAACCAACAUGGCAGCUCACAAGUGUCUAUAACUCAAGUUCCAGGGGAUCAAACACCCUCACAGGAAAAACACCAAUGUAUAUAAAAUAAAAAUAAACCAGCUAUUAAAAAAUUAAAGAUGAAAUUCAGUAGUCUAUCUUCACUUUUCAACGUUGGAAAAGCAUUUCAUGAUACAAGAAGGAAUUAUUGCAAGUCUUUACUUGUAAUUCUAGGGAUAUAAAUGCUGUUAUUAGAAAAGAGGUAAAAAAAUUCAUUGCAACUAAAAGAAUAAAAAUGAAGGUUUUCAAAAAAUUUCUCAUUAAUGUCAAUGAAAUAAAUUGGAAUUUGGAGAAAGGAAAUUUUAAUAUUGAAAAUAUUUCAUCAAAGCUGAGCUAUACUGUCUUUUUGUACAAACUGGAAUGAUGAUAAGCCGUCACGUCCGAGGCUCAGAAAUCCUAGCUAUUGCAUUUGACAUCCUAUGGCUCGUGUUUCUGUCAAGGUGAAAAUUAUCUCUAAGAUUAAAGUAUUCCUUUUCAUUGGCGAGGCUGUAUAAUACAGUUGGAUCCUACAGACGAGGAUCCUACAGAUGCUGCUCCUGAGUUCAGGUGUCUGACAGAGUGCUUCAGGUGUGCCUUGCUGCCCCUCCUUCCUGCAGCCCCUUCUCAUUCAGGCCUGUGGCCAGAGAGUGGUGGAGCUCAUCUUGCUUCAGGGUUUUCAUUAUUCCUGAUUUAUUUUGUUCAGUACUGAAAUACUCAUCAGCAGUCAAUAAAGCUUCUUUACUACUUUUGUCAUUUCAGUGAACCAUUAUCUUCUAUUUUAAAUUUCUGAAUCAAAGAGAAAUAGCUGCUUUAAAAAUUCUUCCAGAAACUCCGGCUUCUCUUUGGAGUAAUAUUUAGCCUUGCAUGGCUUUUGCAGCAUGUAGUGGAGGUGGUAGGUGUUAGGAGCAAUCAUGGUAGCUUACAUAAAUGAUUUCACAUGUGACAAAAACUGUACUGUCAAGGUGAGAAACAAUCUUCUAAGUGUUAGGUAUUAAAUACGUUGGACCUUAUGAUAUGCAUCAGGCUUAAUGCUGCAGCCUCCAGAUGCUCACGUGUGGAGCUUUAGUGCACUAGAUCACAUGGUACGGUAUGCUUCACAGGUAACGGGCUCACUCCUUAACAGUGUGGUGGGCUGCAGCUAGUACAACCACUAGACACGGAGCCUGUGAAAACUGCAUGCUUGCUGUGGUGCGUGAUAGACGCACGCUGCUGGCUUCUAAGCUGAGGAAGAGAAGGAUCUAGGUUCUGUUUUGGUUUUGCCACAGAUCCAGUGAAUAGAGGAAUGUACGCAAUUCCCCGUUAAGAGGCCACUGUGACUACAUGAAAAUAUUAAAGUAACUGAUUAACUUCCGUCUGGUUUCCUUCAGCAUGGUGAUUUUACGGUACUUCAGGGCUAAGGGAUAGCAACUGAAAUGAGAACAGAAAUGCCAUAUCUUGCCAUGCUGCCUUUCCUUAAAAAGAGUACAGAACAUUCUAGUCGGGUGCUUUCAAUUGCCACUUAGGAUGACAUUUCUAUUCCUUCCAUGUCCUGGGAAUAUUUUAACAUUUUGUGAAAAUAUUACCAUUGUCCACUCAGUAUUCAUAUGGUUUAUUACGUAGGGGAGCAACCUGUUAAGGGUGGAGUGGAGACUUGUAUGUAAGGUGGCAAAGGACUUUAAAUUACAUUUGUGGUCAUUUUCUUUAAGUCUAUUGUGAAAAUUUUCCCAUACUGUGCUGGAUUUUGUUAUGUUUAUAAAUAAAGGAGCAGACUGACUCUUAACACUGCAGUGAUGUGGGAAGGCUGGAGUAUUACAGGUCUAGAGGCCAAUUAUCUAUUCGCAGGUUAGUUUUACCCUAAAUCGUUAUUUCCUGCCCACAUCUGUGUCUGAAUAUCCUGUGGCUAGGAUAAAAACCUUUUGGAAUCUAUUGGCCUAUUAGAUCACUAGCUUCCACCAACCCCUAAGCUAAGAUUGUCAGCAGAGAGCAUCUCAGGCCUGUAGAACAGCCUCCUCUAUCUUGCUGUUACUGCCUAUCUGAUGCACCCAUAAAUGUAUUUUAAACUUCCCUUGAUCUAUGACUUUGUUUGUUCUGUAAAAGCAUAA